GCAGGGAUACCCAAGUGGUCAAAGGGGCAGGACUCAAGAUCCUGUGGCUUAGUGCCUUCGUAGGUUCGAAUCCUACUCCCUGCA
RNAcentral lists this transfer RNA (84 nucleotides) under Candidatus Pacearchaeota archaeon. RNAcentral describes it as "tRNA-Leu". It matches the Rfam family "tRNA". From Rfam's summary of the family: Transfer RNA (tRNA) molecules are approximately 80 nucleotides in length. Their secondary structure includes four short double-helical elements and three loops (D, anti-codon, and T loops). The record is from RNAcentral. Lineage: Archaea; Nanobdellati.